RNAcentral lists this ribosomal RNA (622 nucleotides) under uncultured Gammaproteobacteria bacterium. RNAcentral describes it as "partial 16S ribosomal RNA". Lineage: Bacteria; Pseudomonadati; Pseudomonadota; Gammaproteobacteria. The record is from RNAcentral.
UUUCCGGAUGGUUCCGCUGCUAGACAUCGCCCAGACUCUCCUACUAGGCGGUGUGACCCUGACUCUGUGCCGGGUCUGAGGAUGCCCUCCGUCGUCACCCCUUAUAACCUGUUACCCCCCUUGGGACUAGGUCGGUACGGCGCACACACUUCUUCCGGAAUACCAACAUUUCGUGAAAUUCGCUCCUCCUCCGAGGGCAUCAAUUAUGGAUGCCUCUCACCUGCAAUGAGCGUCUUAUUCGUGGCCGAUUGAGACACGGUCGUCGGCGCCAUUAUGUCUCCCACGCUCGCAAUUAGCCUAAAUGACCCGCAUUUCGCACGCAUCCGCCGAAAAAUUCAGCCUACACUUUAGGGGCUCGAAUUGAACCCUUAACGUAAGCUAUGACCCUUCGAUCUCAUACCCUCUCCUACCAUCUUAAGGUCCACAUCGCCACUUUACGCAUCUCUAGACCUCCUUAUGGCUACCGCUUCCGUCGGUAGACCGGAUUAUGACUGCGACUCCAUGCUUUCGUACCCCUCGUUUGUCCUAAUCUAUGGGACCAUCAGGUACGACAUUUGCUACAGAUGAUCGGCAACCCCGGAAACUCCGAAAUCACCGCGUCGAUUGCGCUAUUCAUCUGGCG